AACGAACGCUGGCGGCAUGCCUAACACAUGCAAGUCGAACGAGAACUUCGGGUCUAGUGGCGCACGGGUGCGUAACGCGUGGGAACCUUCCCUUAGGUUCGGAAUAACUCCCCGAAAGGGGUGCUAAUACCGGAUAAUGUCUUCGGACCAAAGAUUUAUCGCCUUUGGAUGGGCCCGCGUUGGAUUAGCUAGUUGUUAGGGUAAAAGCCUACCAAGGCGACGAUCCAUAGCUGGUCUGAGAGGAUGAUCAGCCACACUGGGACUGAGACACGGCCCAGACUCCUCCGGGAGGCAGCAGUGGGGAACAUUGGACAAUCGGCGGAAGCCUGAUCCAGCAAUGCCGCGUGAGUGAUGAAGGCCUUAGGGUUGUAAAGCUCUUGUACCCGGGAUGAUAAUGACAGUACCGGGAGAAUAAGCCCCGGCUAACUACGUG
Molecule: ribosomal RNA, 433 nt
Filed under: uncultured bacterium
Lineage: Bacteria
Description: partial 16S ribosomal RNA
Rfam family: Bacterial small subunit ribosomal RNA
Source: RNAcentral